This is a long non-coding RNA of Prionailurus viverrinus (fishing cat), 413 nucleotides long. RefSeq lists it as uncharacterized. The transcript has 3 exons. NCBI's taxonomy places the organism in Eukaryota, Metazoa, Chordata, Mammalia, Carnivora, Felidae. The record is from RefSeq and is a predicted model, not a curated record.
GGCACAUUAGGGAAACAACGCACAAUCAGUAGUGGGUGCCUGCCUUUCUGGAACGUUUGGAAGGUGGGAGGGGACGCUCAUCGCAGGAUGACACAAAUAAAUAUUUUUGGCUGCAUGGAACAGCAAAGAAGAACCCAAGAGUCUAUCCCCAACUCCUCACCUUGAUGGAUGAGGCGAAAGACCCACUCGUCUGAGGCUGAGGAGGGUCCUGAGACAGGGAGCUGUCACACAUUUUCUGGUUCAUUUCAGAUGACAAAGUUCCUCUUUCCAAAAAGUCCCAUCCCCCAAGAGUCCUUUCUGCUAAGACACCAUCCCUCCCACCUGAGAAGGGGGCUGUCCCACAGUGGCCCCCAGGGGCAGAGACAGGCUCUCUGAGCACAUGACUCCACUUACCUUCCAUGAGCCCCUAAGCU